Molecule: ribosomal RNA, 613 nt
Filed under: Bacillus pumilus
Lineage: Bacteria; Bacillati; Bacillota; Bacilli; Caryophanales; Bacillaceae
Description: bacterial SSU rRNA
Rfam family: Bacterial small subunit ribosomal RNA
Source: RNAcentral
UCAGAGUUUGRWYCUGGCUCAGGACGAACGCUGGCGGCGUGCCUAAUACAUGCAAGUCGAGCGRACAGAAGGGAGCUUGCUCCCGGAUGUUAGCGGCGGACGGGUGAGUAACACGUGGGUAACCUGCCUGUAAGACUGGGAUAACUCCGGGAAACCGGAGCUAAUACCGGAUAGUUCCUUGAACCGCAUGGUUCAAGGAUGAAAGACGGUUUCGGCUGUCACUUACAGAUGGACCCGCGGCGCAUUAGCUAGUUGGUGGGGUAAUGGCUCACCAAGGCGACGAUGCGUAGCCGACCUGAGAGGGUGAUCGGCCACACUGGGACUGAGACACGGCCCAGACUCCUACGGGAGGCAGCAGUAGGGAAUCUUCCGCAAUGGACGAAAGUCUGACGGAGCAACGCCGCGUGAGUGAUGAAGGUUUUCGGAUCGUAAAGCUCUGUUGUUAGGGAAGAACAAGUGCGAGAGUAACUGCUCGCACCUUGACGGUACCUAACCAGAAAGCCACGGCUAACUACGUGCCAGCAGCCGCGGUAAUACGUAGGUGGCAAGCGUUGUCCGGAAUUAUUGGGCGUAAAGGGCUCGCAGGCGGUUUSUUAAGUYUGAUGUGAAAKCC